GAUGAACGCUGGCGGCGUGCUUAACACAUGCAAGUCGAACGGUGAAGCCCAGCUUGCUGGGUGGAUCAGUGGCGAACGGGUGAGUAACACGUGAGCAAUCUGCCCCUGACUCUGGGAUAAGCGCUGGAAACGGCGUCUAAUACUGGAUAUGAACCGUGGAGGCAUCUUCAACGGUUGGAAAGAUUUUUUGGUCAGGGAUGAGCUCGCGGCCUAUCAGCUUGUUGGUGAGGUAAUGGCUCACCAAGGCGUCGACGGGUAGCCGGCCUGAGAGGGUGACCGGCCACACUGGGACUGAGACACGGCCCAGACUCCUACGGGAGGCAGCAGUGGGGAAUAUUGCACAAUGGGCGCAAGCCUGAUGCAGCAACGCCGCGUGAGGGAUGACGGCCUUCGGGUUGUAAACCUCUUUUAGCAGGGAAGAAGCGAAAGUGACGGUACCUGCAGAAAAAGCGCCGGCUAACUACGUGCCAGCAGCCGCGGUAAUACGUAGGGCGCAAGCGUUAUCCGGAAUUAUUGGGCGUAAAGAGCUCGUAGGCGGUUUGUCGCGUCUGCUGUGAAAUCCCGAGGCUCAACCUCGGGUCUGCAGUGGGUACGGGCAGACUAGAGUGCGGUAGGGGAGAUUGGAAUUCCUGGUGUAGCGGUGGAAUGCGCAGAUAUCAGGAGGAACACCGAUGGCGAAGGCAGAUCUCUGGGCCGUAACUGACGCUGAGGAGCGAAAGGGUGGGGAGCAAACAGGCUUAGAUACCCUGGUAGUCCACCCCGUAAACGUUGGGAACUAGUUGUGGGGUCCAUUCCACGGAUUCCGUGACGCAGCUAACGCAUUAAGUUCCCCGCCUGGGGAGUACGGCCGCAAGGCUAAAACUCAAAGGAAUUGACGGGGACCCGCACAAGCGGCGGAGCAUGCGGAUUAAUUCGAUGCAACGCGAAGAACCUUACCAAGGCUUGACAUAUACGAGAACGCUGCAGAAAUGUAGAACUCUUUGGACACUCGUAAACAGGUGGUGCAUGGUUGUCGUCAGCUCGUGUCGUGAGAUGUUGGGUUAAGUCCCGCAACGAGCGCAACCCUCGUUCUAUGUUGCCAACACGUAAUGGUGGGAACUCAUGGGAUACUGCCGGGGUCAACUCGGAGGAAGGUGGGGAUGACGUCAAAUCAUCAUGCCCCUUAUGUCUUGGGCUUCACGCAUGCUACAAUGGCCGGUACAAAGGGCUGCAAUACCGUAAGGUGGAGCGAAUCCCAAAAAGCCGGUCCCAGUUCGGAUUGAGGUCUGCAACUCGACCUCAUGAAGUCGGAGUCGCUAGUAAUCGCAGAUCAGCAACGCUGCGGUGAAUACGUUCCCGGGUCUUGUACACACCGCCCGUCAAGUCAUGAAAGUCGGUAACACCUGAAGCCGGUGGCCCAACCCUUGUGGAGGGAGCCGUCGAAGGUGGGAUCGGUAAUUAGGACU
This 1445-nucleotide ribosomal RNA is filed under the name Microbacterium sp. GM-1. Its description in RNAcentral is "bacterial SSU rRNA". It matches the Rfam family "Bacterial small subunit ribosomal RNA". Lineage: Bacteria; Bacillati; Actinomycetota; Actinomycetes; Micrococcales; Microbacteriaceae. The record is from RNAcentral.